Thamnophis elegans (Western terrestrial garter snake) is the source of this 384-nucleotide long non-coding RNA. RefSeq lists it as uncharacterized. The transcript has 3 exons. The record is from RefSeq and is a predicted model, not a curated record. Lineage: Eukaryota; Metazoa; Chordata; Lepidosauria; Squamata; Natricidae.
CUCUUUGCUGAGGGAGCAUCGGAUGGAUUUUCUGUGCAUGGAAGGAUCUCUGAUCUCCAUAGAGAAGGAUUUGAAAUGGUAGACAGAAGAAAAGAAAAAAUGGACAUCAUAGACCUCAUCUCAUGCUCCUCCUCAAAUUUGCAGAUGGCACUAAGAUGGCAGGAGCAGCCAACGCCCCAGAAGACCAAUUCAGGAUCCAAAAGAUCUUGGCAGGCUUGAACAAUGGGCGCCAUGCAACGAAGUGAAAUUUGAUGUGGAGAAAAGCAAGGUUUUACACCUGGGCGGGAAAAGCCAAAGUUGCUCAAGAAACUCCUGUCUAUGACCCUCAAUGGAUGAGCUUUCCUUAUUCCAAUUACUUGAGGGGUUUCUCUCCUGCCUUUGGAA